GGUUAAGCGACUAAGCGUACACGGUGGAUGCCCUGGCAGUCAGAGGCGAUGAAGGACGUGCUAAUCUGCGAAAAGCGCCGGCGAGGUGAUAUGAACCUUUGACCCGGCGAUGUCCGAAUGGGGAAACCCAGUGUGWUYCGWCACACUAUCGUUAACUGAAUACAUAGGUUAACGAGGC
This 178-nucleotide ribosomal RNA is filed under the name Enterobacter ludwigii. RNAcentral describes it as "partial 23S ribosomal RNA". Lineage: Bacteria; Pseudomonadati; Pseudomonadota; Gammaproteobacteria; Enterobacterales; Enterobacteriaceae. The record is from RNAcentral.